RNAcentral lists this ribosomal RNA (163 nucleotides) under uncultured Thermotogae bacterium. RNAcentral's name for it is "partial 16S ribosomal RNA". It matches the Rfam family "Bacterial small subunit ribosomal RNA", at positions 338 to 495 of the family's 1533-position model. The record is from RNAcentral. Lineage: Bacteria; Thermotogati; Thermotogota; Thermotogae.
CCUACGGGAGGCAGCAGUGCGGAAUUUUAGAUAAUGGAGGGAACUGUGAUCUAGCGACCCCCCGUGCAGGAAGAAGGUCUUCGGAUUGUAAACUGCUGUGGUAAGGGAAAAAUGCUAUGUAGAGGGAAAGCUACAUAGAGGGCUGUACCUACGGAAGGCCCCC